RNAcentral lists this ribosomal RNA (504 nucleotides) under Triticum aestivum (bread wheat). RNAcentral's name for it is "partial small subunit ribosomal RNA". Lineage: Eukaryota; Viridiplantae; Streptophyta; Magnoliopsida; Poales; Poaceae. The record is from RNAcentral.
AUGCAGUACACGCCGCAGCGCCUCUUCGCCGACGCGUACUCCUUCCCGUCCACUUCCACUUCUACGGAUGCUGCCGCAGCCGACCAAUGUUUCCCUGGCGAGCUAAUCUCUGCUGUCGACAUCUACCAGAAGGCGAAGGGCGCGCCCCGGCCCCUCUUCUCUCGGUUGGUAGAGACCUCCACGUCGUCCUCGUGGUUCCUGACAUCGCCCUUCCGCGUGGACGCCGUCGAGUGCAAGAACCCGGUGCCGGUGCGGGCGGCCUCGUUCUCUCCGGCGGAGCUUGAGCUAAGCUGGAUCGUCGUCGACCCCCAGAGCGGCCGGGCGGUAAACGUGUCGAGCCGACGGGCAGUGGCCAUGGACAGGCACUGGUACCUCCCCGAGCUAUCCCUCCGCUUCAGCGGCGGCGCCGAGAUGUGGCUCCCGAUCGAGAACUACUUCCUGGUGGCGGGCAUGGUCCAGGGGCUGAUUGAUUUUUUUUUAAAUCUACUAGGGGUCUGUGUGUGA